This 310-nucleotide unclassified non-coding RNA is filed under the name plant metagenome. RNAcentral's name for it is "partial contains 5.8S ribosomal RNA, internal transcribed spacer 2, and large subunit ribosomal RNA". The stretch from base 1 to 105 matches the Rfam family "5.8S ribosomal RNA", at positions 50 to 154 of the family's 154-position model. The record is from RNAcentral.
GAAAUGCGAUAAGUAGUGUGAAUUGCAGAAUUCAGUGAAUCAUCGAAUCUUUGAACGCACAUUGCGCCCCUCGGUAUUCCGUGGGGCAUGCCUGUUCGAGCGUCAUCUACACCCUCAAGCUCUGCUUGGUGUUGGGCGUCUUUCCCGCCUCCUUCGCGCGCGGACUCGCCCCAAAUCCAUUGGCGGCGGCCCUUGCCUCCCUCUCGCGCAGCACAUUGCGCUUCUCGAGGCGCGGCGGACCGCGUCCAGCAAGCAACCGUCACACCGUCUUUGACCUCGGAUCAGGUAGGGAUACCCGCUGAACUUAAGC